Molecule: long non-coding RNA, 3902 nt
Organism: Alligator mississippiensis (American alligator)
Lineage: Eukaryota; Metazoa; Chordata; Crocodylia; Alligatoridae
Exons: 3
Source: RefSeq, a predicted model, not a curated record
UCAUCUCAGUGAGCAAUUUUAAUUCAUUUUCAGCAAAAUCUUAAAAACUUGAAGACCUGGACUUCUUCAGCUGUGGCAUCACAAACCUGAAAGAUUGCAGGGAAAAGAUUUGUGAGCUGCUUCAGGAGAUCACCUACCUAGAUUGAUUUGAUCAGGAAGAUAACGAGGCCCCCAAUUCAAAAGAUGAAGAUGAUGAGGGUGACUACUCUAAACAUGCAGCCAUUAGUUAUGCCCUUCAGUCAGUAUCUAAAUAUAAAAUUGAGACUAAAGUGACUGUGGAACUGCUGGAGCACAAAUCAGCUACGUGUGUCAAGUGAAGGCCAGUAUCACAUACUGCUCCUAUUGAGUAAUGCCGGGGUGGGGGGCAAUGCACUUGCAAAGAAAGUUGUCAUGGAUGCUGUGCACAGUUAAAGGAGAGUUGCACUUAGGAAAACAUGAGAUCUUUACACUAAGAUAUAACUAUAUAAAAGCAGUUAUUGCUGAUACCAAAAGAUGUUUUGUUUGUUUUUUUGUACCCGUCAUCUCAUAUUUGAUGCUGUGGCACAUUCAGUUCUCUGUUUUCUCUUCCUACACAAAGAGGAAAAAAUGGGAUGUUACUUCUAGUCCUGUCUUUUUUUAAAGAUUACUGGUGAAGGUGUUGUAGUUGAAUUGAGUCAGAUUUCAGAAGCUCAUUUAAGAUGAGUUUACAAACAAGCCUUUGAGGUGUAGGCAAAGCUGUAAGGAAUUAAUUUACCUGCCUUUCAGAAGGGGAUGAGGAGGAUGAAGCAGAUGAAGAUGAAGCUGGUCCACCAGGAGAGUACAAAGAAGACAAAGAUGAAAAUAAUGGAGGUUCAGAUUUGGGGGAGAGUGAAGAGGAGGAAGAAGCUGGCCUUUCAUACCUGAUGACGGACAAGAUCCAGCGGUUAUCAACAUGAGCCAUGAUGCACGACUGAUCACGGAGAGCAGCUGCCAGCUCUGGGUGGUGGAGGAGCAGUCCAUCAGCCACAUCAACAGCGACUUUGACUACAAGUGGGAGGUUCUGGAGGCCUCGGGCCAGGUCAUCGUUGCUGACUCGCUGUGCUGCUCCUGGAUGAAAACACAAAUCAAGAGCUCAAGGAUGCAGCUUGAAGGGAAGUUGUGAAAUCUCUUUCACUGGAGGGUUUUCAAGACUGGUAGACAUCUGUCCAGGGCAGCUUGGACAUAGCACGCCCUGUGCCCUGCCCCUGUGCAGCAGAUGGGACAAGACGGCCCUUGAGGACUCCUCCGACCUCAGGGAUCUACGAUUGCAUGAUGGACGUUUUCCUCACUGAGGAGCUGCCUGGCAAUGACUAAGGCCCUGACAUGUGGGUGUCACAGGCCCUGCCUGAGAGAUGCCAUCCAUGAAAAUUUUCCCCUGGGGAAACGGAUUUUUCAAAAAUCAAUUACUCCUUCUGAAUCUAACCAGCCUUAUUACCGUGAUUGCUCUUUCCAUAUUUUUCAAGCACAUUAUGUGAGAAGCAGCCUCCCCUGCUCCUUUCCACCUCAUGCUCUAGUUGCUGCAGCACCCAGGAGGUUUUGUACUGAAGUGCAUCACCGUGAGAGGGCGGCUGUAGUCCUGCCCACAGUAGUAGUCGCCUGCGUCUUCCACCUGCACCCCGCAGAUGGUGCACUCACGAGAAGAGUGACAAAGGCCUUUGCUACUUGCUGUUCAGCAUCUGCCAAGGUUGGUCCUGUGUUCAGCAGAACAAGGAGGGCUUCCAUGUGGUAGGAGCUGCUGUGUCCUGCAUGGGGAACGUCAAGUCCCAGGGCACUGGGCAGGUGCAGAAGACCGAACAUGCUUGUUUUGCCUCAAAUGCAGCCUUCACUUACAGAGCUCUAAGACGGGACUGAAAAGGGCAAAAUGAGGUGUUUGUAGCUGCUCAAGACAAAGAGGAAAUGCCAGCUGAUGUGUUUGGAAAGCAGUGGGUCAGUAGAAGCACCUGGCCUGCAGUUCCUGGCCACACAUCCCCUCUGAUCUGAUUUGGGUGCAAGAUGCCUGCCCUGCUCUUACAUCGGUCAGAAUGAGCCAGGUCCGUAGUAGCCUGCUGGGAGGAUUCGCAGUCACAUCGUGCCCUCUCCUGGCCAGAGGCUGCUAUUAGAUGAACCCGUCUGCUUUCCAGGAGGUCUUAGUGCAUCUUUCUCUGAUAGAAUAAAGACCCAUUGGGAGUAUGCAGGGCUUUCUCCUUGGAAAGGUGUUCACAUAAUGAAACUCAGUCACCUCUCAGCCUUCUUCCCAGGGAUGCGUGUGAUGUGAUCAGGACAAUUUGGGAGUGUCUGAAGAGUCUGUCGGUGGAUGAGGCUGUCUAGGGAACUUGUGGAUUCUCCUUUCCUGGAGGUUUCAAAAAGGAUUGGACAAGCAUUGGCCAUGGACGAUCAAGGAGCAGCAAUGCCUGGACUUUGCUGUGCAGAGCAAUAGCUGGAAGCCCAGGAGAAGCCCCCUCCCCACGCCGACACAGCGCUGGGAGAUGAUGGGAAGAGCUGUGCAGCCCAGAGCAGGUGACAUUGGAGAGGACCAUGUUCAGCAGCAGAAGAAUGAAACAGUGCUUCAAAACUGACUUAGUUAGAAAAGAAGAGUAAAGAGAUGGGACAAGUGUGCAGAGAUGACAGGAUGAGAGAAAGGGGGAUUACGGCUCUCUAGUUAGGGUUUGUGAUGUGUGAAGCUGUGUUUGCUGUCCCCGUGUUGCAGAACAGGGUGGAGGGAGUUCGGUCUCCUCCUGCCUCUGGGCUUUGCUGGUGGCCACGUGGGGCCACGGGGGAAUGCUUUCCUUUCCUGCGGCCACAGGUAUUAAGGUUUUCAUUUUUUUUACGCUUUCAUAGAAGCCCAAGAGGCAGCUGAGCACUGUGCCAGGCACCUCUGGACAUGUGGACUAUGAGAUCCCAAUAGUGAUCCAUAACCGAAUGGGACAGCCGACAUGUGGCUCAAUGCCCUGUGACGGGUUAGCAGAGCCACUGGCCUGGGACUGCGGGAAGCAGCUGGUGCCGGGAGCAGCAGAACUGAGCAGAGCAGGGGGGUUUUGUACUGGGCUGUAGCACUGUGAGUGGGGUAUCAUAAUACUGCUGACAGCAAUAAUCUCCAGCAUCACCAGCCUCCACCGGGCUGAUGGUAAAAGCGUAAUCAGUGCUGACCCACUGUCACGGAACCAGUCUGAGGCUCUGGGUGGCUGUGUUGUAAUGCCAGAAAUAAGGAGCUUGGGCACUUGUCUUGGUUGGAGGAUGCGGUACCCCUGUGAACCCCACAUUCCCAGCUAGAUCAGUGGGGCACAGUGUGUCCCUCCCCAGUCCUGAGCCCUGAGACUAUGCACUGGACCGGGAAGGCCUCAGGGAAUUCAUCCCCAUCCCCUACCCCUGAGCCAGUGCUGAGUUCCUGUUUGAAGGUGCUACUUCCCAUGCAGCUGCAGGGCUCUGGCCCCUGGGGAGCGGGUGCAGCCAUGCCCUUGUGGGAACAGGGGAUGCAGCCCGGGGCACCAGGACAGCCCAUACCCAGCUGUGCCUGCCACUAGUGCCAAAUGCUGCCAGCUGGGCUGGCUCAGCUCAGGUGGGUCUGCUUUCCCCUGGCAAGGGAGCAGUGGCUGCCAGCUCUGCCUGGCACAGGGGCCUGCUGCCCCCACCUCAACCUCAGGGCUAAAAUUUCUCAUGCUUGUUCAGAGGAAAUAAGAUGAAACCAUCCAAAUGAAAGAGCUGAGUUUCAUACAAAUGAAACAGCUGAGGACACCUGUGAGAUCCUAACUGAGUUAGUCACUGAUGGGCAGCAGUGGUGGGUGAAGCGCAUGAACAUGAGCAGCCCCAGGCCCUGCUGUGACGGGGCAGGAGAGUCCCUGGUCUGUGGCUGGGCAGGAAGCAGCUGGUGCCGGGAGCAGCAGGACUGAGCAGAGCAGAGAGGUUUUUGUACGGGGCUGUAGCACUGU